This 567-nucleotide ribosomal RNA is filed under the name uncultured Actinomycetes bacterium. RNAcentral describes it as "bacterial SSU rRNA". It matches the Rfam family "Bacterial small subunit ribosomal RNA", at positions 338 to 916 of the family's 1533-position model. The record is from RNAcentral. Lineage: Bacteria; Bacillati; Actinomycetota; Actinomycetes.
CCUACGGGAGGCAGCAGUAGGGAAUAUUGGGCAAUGGGCGAAAGCCUGACCCAGCGGCGCCGCGUGAGGGAUGAAGGUCUUCGGAUUGUAAACCUCUUUCAGUAGGGAAGAAGCGAAAGUGACGGUACCUAAAGAAGAAGCACCGGCUAACUAUGUGCCAGCAGCCGCGGUAAUACAUAGGGUGCAAGCGUUGUCCGGAAUUAUUGGGCGUAAAGAGCUCGUAGGUCGUUUGUCGCGUCGAUUGUGAAAAUCUGAGGCUCAACCUCAGACCUGCAGUCGAUACGGGCAAACUAGAGUGUGGUAGGGGAGACUGGAAUUCCUGGUGUAGCGGUGGAAUGCGCAGAUAUCAGGAGGAACACCAAUGGCGAAGGCAGGUCUCUGGGCCAUAACUGACACUGAGGAGCGAAAGUGCGGGGAGCGAACAGGAUUAGAUACCCUGGUAGUCCGCACCGUAAACGGUGGGCACUAGUUGUGGGAACCUUCCACGGUUUCCGCGACGCAGCAAACGCAUUAAGUGCCCCGCCUGGGGAGUACGAUCGCAAGAUUAAAACUCAAAGGAAUUGACGG